CAGCGCCGCAAGCCCUAUCAGCCCCUGCACGUUGUGCCCCACGCCCGAUCGCCGCACGUUUCGGCCUCCACGAGCGCCAAACUCUCCACACACCUAGAAACAUGGACUCAAAGGAGUCCAAAUGAGAAAAAACAGCAAGCAAUGGCAUUUUUUGUUUAUUUUCUUUUUCUUUUCCAGGCUAUAAAAAGCCACUUUUAAUCUGUAAAAGGGGGAGGGUGUAAAGAAAUACGAUUUGAAAAAACACUGGGAAUACAAAGUUUUUUCGAAGGUGAAUCGACUUUAUUUUUUACUUUGUCUAUUCUUUUUUUGUUUUAUUUUUUAUUUAUCUUUCAUUUUAAAUAUAAAGAAAGGGGGAAGAGACUUACCUGGUCGCCGGAGUCGUCAGGCCGGUGUCUUCUCCGGUGAAAUCGGGGCGUGGAAGCGUAGGCUGAGCGACGGCGCAAAGCUGGGUUAAGGAAAACCCUAGCAGAGCACCUUCCCCCCUUUCUCCCUCUGUUGUUUUAAGAAAAAG
Molecule: long non-coding RNA, 511 nt
Filed under: Gossypium raimondii (Peruvian cotton)
Lineage: Eukaryota; Viridiplantae; Streptophyta; Magnoliopsida; Malvales; Malvaceae
Description: long non-coding RNA (GRAI_LNC004217)
Source: RNAcentral